Molecule: ribosomal RNA, 1504 nt
Filed under: Klebsiella pneumoniae
Lineage: Bacteria; Pseudomonadati; Pseudomonadota; Gammaproteobacteria; Enterobacterales; Enterobacteriaceae
Description: bacterial SSU rRNA
Rfam family: Bacterial small subunit ribosomal RNA
Source: RNAcentral
AGAGUUUGAUCCUGGCUCAGAUUGAACGCUGGCGGCAGGCCUAACACAUGCAAGUCGAGCGGUAGCACAGAGAGCUUGCUCUCGGGUGACGAGCGGCGGACGGGUGAGUAAUGUCUGGGAAACUGCCUGAUGGAGGGGGAUAACUACUGGAAACGGUAGCUAAUACCGCAUAAUGUCGCAAGACCAAAGUGGGGGACCUUCGGGCCUCAUGCCAUCAGAUGUGCCCAGAUGGGAUUAGCUAGUAGGUGGGGUAACGGCUCACCUAGGCGACGAUCCCUAGCUGGUCUGAGAGGAUGACCAGCCACACUGGAACUGAGACACGGUCCAGACUCCUACGGGAGGCAGCAGUGGGGAAUAUUGCACAAUGGGCGCAAGCCUGAUGCAGCCAUGCCGCGUGUGUGAAGAAGGCCUUCGGGUUGUAAAGCACUUUCAGCGGGGAGGAAGGCGUUAAGGUUAAUAACCUUGUCGAUUGACGUUACCCGCAGAAGAAGCACCGGCUAACUCCGUGCCAGCAGCCGCGGUAAUACGGAGGGUGCAAGCGUUAAUCGGAAUUACUGGGCGUAAAGCGCACGCAGGCGGUCUGUCAAGUCGGGUGUGAAAUCCCCGGGCUCAACCUGGGAACUGCAUUCGAAACUGGCAGGCUAGAGUCUUGUAGAGGGGGGUAGAAUUCCAGGUGUAGCGGUGAAAUGCGUAGAGAUCUGGAGGAAUACCGGUGGCGAAGGCGGCCCCCUGGACAAAGACUGACGCUCAGGUGCGAAAGCGUGGGGAGCAAACAGGAUUAGAUACCCUGGUAGUCCACGCCGUAAACGAUGUCGAUUUGGAGGUUGUGCCCUUGAGGCGUGGCUUCCGGAGCUAACGCGUUAAAUCGACCGCCUGGGGAGUACGGCCGCAAGGUUAAAACUCAAAUGAAUUGACGGGGGCCCGCACAAGCGGUGGAGCAUGUGGUUUAAUUCGAUGCAACGCGAAGAACCUUACCUGGUCUUGACAUCCACAGAACUUUCCAGAGAUGGAUUGGUGCCUUCGGGAACUGUGAGACAGGUGCUGCAUGGCUGUCGUCAGCUCGUGUUGUGAAACGUUGGGUUAAGUCCCGCAACGAGCGCAACCCUUAUCCUUUGUUGCCAGCGGUUAGGCCGGGAACUCAAAGGAGACUGCCAGUGAUAAACUGGAGGAAGGUGGGGAUGACGUCAAGUCAUCAUGGCCCUUACGACCAGGGCUACACACGUGCUACAAUGGCAUAUACAAAGAGAAGCGACCUCGCGAGAGCAAGCGGACCUCAUAAAGUAUGUCGUAGUCCGGAUUGGAGUCUGCAACUCGACUCCAUGAAGUCGGAAUCGCUAGUAAUCGUAGAUCAGAAUGCUACGGUGAAUACGUUCCCGGGCCUUGUACACACCGCCCGUCACACCAUGGGAGUGGGUUGCAAAAGAAGUAGGUAGCUUAACCUUCGGGAGGGCGCUUACCACUUUGUGAUUCAUGACUGGGGUGAAGUCGUAACAAGGUAACCGUA